GGGGGUUGGCUGCACUCACCUUAACAUGCAUAAAUGGGGGUGCUGCUGGGGGCCAAAUAAUACAAUACACAAGAUCCAGCGCACUCACCUAUCCACUAAACAGCAGCUUCAAUGUUGAAAGAUUUUAUUUGUUUUUUUAAAAACACCUAAUCUAGGCAAAAAUAAUGGGGGUUUAGUUACAUUAUAUGAUCAUACAUUGCAUAAGCCUGCCACAGCGUCAAUGUACCCCAUCUUUGGCAGGUCCUACACUA
Molecule: non-coding RNA, 251 nt
Organism: Pelobates cultripes (western spadefoot toad)
Lineage: Eukaryota; Metazoa; Chordata; Amphibia; Anura; Pelobatidae
Source: the annotation of a GenBank genome assembly